RNAcentral lists this long non-coding RNA (1562 nucleotides) under Salmo salar (Atlantic salmon). RNAcentral describes it as "lncRNA (ENSSSAG00000115768.1)". Lineage: Eukaryota; Metazoa; Chordata; Actinopteri; Salmoniformes; Salmonidae. The record is from RNAcentral.
GUUACACCUGUACUACACCACAUGACUGAGUUACAGUACGGACAGGUUACACCUGUACUACACCACAUGACUGAGUUACUGUACGGACAGGUAACACCUGUACUACACCACAUGACUGAGUUACUGUACGGACAGGUUACACCUGUACUACACCACAUGACUGAGUUACUGUACGGACAGGUUACACCUGUACUACACCACAUGACUGAGUUACUGUACGGACAGGUUACACCUGUACUACACCACAUGACUGAGUUACUGUACGGACAUGUUACACCUGUACUACACCACAUGACUGAGUUACUGAAAGGUUACACCUGUACUACACCACAUGACUGAGUUACUGUAUGGACAGGUUACACCUGUACUACACCACAUGACUGAGUUACUGUACGGACAGGUUACACCUGUACUACACCACAUGACUGAGUUACUGUACGGACAGGUUACACCUGUACUACACCACAUGACUGAGUUACUGUACGGACAGGUUAAACCUGUACUACACCACAUGACUGAGUUACUGUACGGACAGGUUACACCUGUACUACACCACAUGACUGAGUUACUGACAGGUUACACCUGUACUACGCCACAUGACUGAGUUACUGUACGGACAGGUUGACCUGUACUACACCACAUGACUGAGUUACUGUACGGACAGGUAACACCUGUACUACACCACAUGACUGAGUUACUGACAGGUUACACCUGUACUACACCACAUGACUGAGUUACACCUGUACUACACCACAUGACUGAGUUACUGUACGGACAGGUUACACCUGUACUACACCACAUGACUGAGUUACUGUACAGACAGGUUACACCUGUACUACACCACAUGACUGAGUUACUGACAGGUUACACCUGUACUACACCACAUGACUGAGUUACUGUACGGACAGGUUACACCUGUACUACACCACAUGACUGAGUUACUGACAGGUUACACCUGUACUACACCACAUGACUGAGUUACACCUGUACUACACCACAUGACUGAGUUACUGUACGGACAGGUUACACCUGUACUACACCACAUGACUGAGUUAAUGUACGGACAGGUUACACCUGUACUACACCACAUGACUGAGUUACUGUACGGACAGGUUACACCUGUACUACACCACAUGACUGAGUUACUGUACGGACAGGUUACACCUGUACUACACCACAUGACUGAGUUACUGUACGGACAGGUAACACCUGUAAUACACCACAUGACUGAGUUACUGUACAGACAGGUUACACCUGUACUACACCACAUGACUGAGUUACUGUACAGACAGGUUACACCUGUACUACACCACAUGACUGAGUUACUGUACAGACAGGUUACACCUGUACUACACCACAUGACUGAGUUACUGUACAGACAGGUUACACCUGUACUACACCACAUGACUGAGUUACUGUACGGACAGGUUACACCUGUACUACACCACAUGACUGAGUUACUGUACGGACAGGUUACACCUGUACUACACCACAUGACUGAGUUACUGUACGGACAGGUUACACCUGUACUACACCACAUGACUGAGUUACUGUACGGACAG